RNAcentral lists this ribosomal RNA (460 nucleotides) under uncultured Sediminibacterium sp. Its description in RNAcentral is "bacterial SSU rRNA". It matches the Rfam family "Bacterial small subunit ribosomal RNA", at positions 338 to 795 of the family's 1533-position model. Lineage: Bacteria; Pseudomonadati; Bacteroidota; Chitinophagia; Chitinophagales; Chitinophagaceae. The record is from RNAcentral.
CCUACGGGAGGCAGCAGUGGGGAAUAUUGGACAAUGGGCGAAAGCCUGAUCCAGCCAUGCCGCGUGAAGGAUGAAGGUCCUCUGGAUUGUAAACUUCUUUUAUAGGGGGCGAAAAAAGGGAAAUCUUUCUCACUUGACAGUACCCUAUGAAUAAGCACCGGCUAACUCCGUGCCAGCAGCCGCGGUAAUACGGAGGGUGCCAGCGUUAUCCGGAUUCACUGGGUUUAAAGGGUGCGUAGGCGGGCGUAUAAGUCAGUGGUGAAAUCCUGGAGCUUAACUCCAGAACUGCCAUUGAUACUAUAUGUCUUGAAUAUGGUGGAGGUAAUCGGAAUAUGUCAUGUAGCGGUGUAGUGCAUAGGUAUGACAUAGAACACCUAUUGCGAAGGCAGCUUACUACGCCUAGAUGAUCGCUGAGGCACGUAAGCGUGAGGAUCAACCAAGAUUAGAUACGCUGGUAGUC